Molecule: non-coding RNA, 74 nt
Organism: Pangasius djambal
Lineage: Eukaryota; Metazoa; Chordata; Actinopteri; Siluriformes; Pangasiidae
Source: the annotation of a GenBank genome assembly
GGGAUUUGGUGGCUUUGUGGUAAAAGCCUUGUCUCUGGAGUUGGAGGUUGCUGGUUCGAAUCCGGCUUGUCCCU